UAGAGAGAGAGAGAGAGAUGUGUUUGGGGAGGAGAGAGAGAAAAAGAGAGGUUUUGAAAAAUAAAGAGAAGAGAGAAAAAUAAUUUUUUUUAUCUAAUUAAAGUAUAAAUUUAUAUAAAAAUUAUUAAUUUAUUUUUAAAAUUUAUAAAAAUAAGACUAGAUAAAAAAUAUUUUUAAAAAAGACUAAAUUGAAAAAAAAAAUAAAAUUCUAAGGAGGGUAGGCAAGGCAUUAGGUCCCAAAUGAAGUGAGUGGUGAUGGAAUGAUUUUCUUAUGUAGCUUUAUUGAAAAAAUCAUUUAUCAACCUAGCCUCGUUUUCGAAAUAUUUUUUAGUCUAGCCUCAUUUCAACUGAUUAAGAAAAAAAAAUUGUCAAAAAUUUGUUUUUAGUGUUAAUUAAGAGAGAUCUUUCCCUCUCUUUCCCUGCUACCUACUUUUCUCUCUCUCUCUCUCUCUCUCUCUCUCUCUUCCCCAACUACACCUCACUCUCUUUAUCUCUCAAAUAUUGCUAUUUUUUUUUGGGGAAAACUUCAAAAAACCUCCCGUGGUUUCGUAGUUUCUCACUUUGCACCCCUGUAGUUUAAAAUGUAUCGAUUUGCCCCCCUGUGGUUUCGUUUUUAUCUUUUCGGUAGCUUUUUCGUUAAUAUUUCAUUAAACUAUAUACAAAAAACUUCAGAUACCCAUCUAGAUUUAUCAAAUAUUCACUUUAAUACUCUUUAAUUUUAACUUUAUCACUGAUUUAAGAAAAAAAAUAAUGAAAUUGAUAAGAAAAAGGAAAAAAAGAAACCACAGGGGGGCAAAUUGAUACAUUUUAAACCACAGGGGGGCAAAGUGAGAAACUACGAAACCACAUGGGAGUUUUUUGAAGUUUUCCCUUUUUUUUUGAGAGAAAGAUAGCACGUUACCUACAUUAUUCAUAUAGAAAAUAAAUUCAGCUACAGAAGUUUUGGCAACUCGGUCUUGAAUAAGACGCAGGUCACCAUACUGAAAAAUAAAAAUAAAAAUAAUAUAAAAAUAAAUGAUAAAAAAGAAAACUUAGAAAAAUAAAAUAAGUAAAUAAAAUAAAAAAAAGUAAAAUUAGAAAAGAGUUCACUUAGAACUGCAAAACUAAGUCCACUCCCUUUCCAAGCCCGAACUCGUCUAACCAUGAUUAAGGGAUCUGAAGAUUGAUUUCUAAAAAUCAUGUUAUUUCUUUCCCGCCAGAUCAUCUACCAACAGAUUGCAAUCUUAGUCAGAUCUUUCGUUGAUGCCCUUUGUAAGCGAUUCUCCGAUAGAAACUCCUAGACACCCCUAGCCUCUAUCGUAGAUUCUGAGAUAUGUCUAUUGUUAAGUAAACUGAACAUCAGAAAUUUAUUGAGUAUGCAUCCUACAAAUAAAUGAUCUAUUGUCUCAACUUCACUGCCACACAAAACACACUGUAAAUUCUCAGACGAGUCCCUUUUAAGUAGAUUAUUAAUCAUUGGUAGGCGCUUUUUAAGAGCAAGUCAAAUAAAAAUUUUAACUUUAUAUAAAAUUUUUAUAUCCCAAAUUUUUA
This 1530-nucleotide long non-coding RNA is filed under the name Ananas comosus (pineapple). RNAcentral describes it as "long non-coding RNA (ACOM_LNC012747)". Lineage: Eukaryota; Viridiplantae; Streptophyta; Magnoliopsida; Poales; Bromeliaceae. The record is from RNAcentral.